RNAcentral lists this transfer RNA (72 nucleotides) under Catellatospora citrea. Its description in RNAcentral is "tRNA-Gln". It matches the Rfam family "tRNA". From Rfam's summary of the family: Transfer RNA (tRNA) molecules are approximately 80 nucleotides in length. Lineage: Bacteria; Bacillati; Actinomycetota; Actinomycetes; Micromonosporales; Micromonosporaceae. The record is from RNAcentral. RNAcentral also lists the same sequence under 5 other names.
UCGGCUGUGGUGUAAUUGGCAACACUCGCGCCUUUGGAGCGCGCUUUCCAGGUUCGAGCCCUGGCAGCCGAG